AGCAGCCGCGGUAAUUCCAGCUCCAAUAGCGUAUAUUAAAGUUGUUGCAGUUAAAAAGCUCGUAGUUGAAUUUCGGAGUUUGUCGGUUGGUCGGGCUUCACUGUCCGCACUGACCUGAUAGACUCCUACCUUCUGAAUAACCAGCAUGCUAUUAAGUUAGUGCGUUGGGGAAGCAGAGCUAUUACCUUAGAAAAAAUUAGAGUGCUUAAAGCAGGCUUACGCUUGAAUAGAUUAGCAUGGAAUAAUAAAAUAGGACGGCAUGGUUCUAUUUUGUUGGUUUCUAGGAUCACCGUAAUGAUUAAUAGGGAUAGUUGGGGGCAUUAGUAUUCAAUUGUCAGAGGUGAAAUUCUUGGAUUUAUUGAAGACUAACUUCUGCGAAAGCAUUUGCCAAGGAUGUUUUCAUUAAUCAAGAACGAAAGUUAGGGGAUACGAAGACGAUCAGAUACCGUCGUAGUCUAACCAUAAACUAUCGCCGACUAGGGAUCGGACGAUGUUAAUUUUUAAUGACUCGUUCGGCGCC
RNAcentral lists this ribosomal RNA (520 nucleotides) under uncultured Acaulospora. Its description in RNAcentral is "SSU rRNA". It matches the Rfam family "Eukaryotic small subunit ribosomal RNA", at positions 569 to 1087 of the family's 1831-position model. Lineage: Eukaryota; Fungi; Glomeromycota; Glomeromycetes; Diversisporales; Acaulosporaceae. The record is from RNAcentral.